Molecule: unclassified non-coding RNA, 343 nt
Filed under: soil metagenome
Description: partial contains 5.8S ribosomal RNA, internal transcribed spacer 2, and large subunit ribosomal RNA
Rfam family: 5.8S ribosomal RNA (bases 1-120)
Source: RNAcentral
GAUGAAGAACGUAGUGAAAUGCGAUAAGUAAUGUGAAUUGCAGAAUUCAGUGAAUCAUCGAAUCUUUGAACGCACAUUGCGCCCGCUAGUAUUCUGGCGGGCAUGCCUGUCCGAGCGUCAUUUCAACCCUCAAGCCCCCGGGCUUGGUGUUGGGGAUCGGCGAGCCUCCGCGCCCGCCGUCCCCUAAAUCUAGUGGCGGUCUCGCUGUAGCUUCCUCUGCGUAGUAGCACACCUCGCACUGGGAAACAGCGCGGCCACGCCGUUAAACCCCCAACUUUACCAAGGUUGACCUCGGAUCAGGUAGGAAUACCCGCUGAACUUAAGCAUAUCAAUAAGCGGAGGA